CAGGAGCGCAGUUCUGUUAAGGACGUACACACAGCUUGGGAAUCAAAUAAAGAUAUUUCAUAUUAAAAGGGUCCACCUGUACAUCAGUAAUGGACGAUGCUGAAUCAGAAACAAGUUCCUUUACAGAGCUUACAAAGAGUGAGGCUGUUUCUGAAAUUAUUUGCUCUUUGGGACAAAAGCCAGAGACUACUGAAAGUGUACUGAUGGAGAGCGUAGACUCACCUGAAAAUAGCUGUGUUUCCAUGAAGAGUGACGAGUCAAUGGACGUCCCAGCUCACUUUAGCCGGGGACAUUUUCCUACAG
Non-coding RNA from Paramormyrops kingsleyae, 303 nucleotides. The record is from RefSeq and is a predicted model, not a curated record. Lineage: Eukaryota; Metazoa; Chordata; Actinopteri; Osteoglossiformes; Mormyridae.